Molecule: microRNA precursor, 103 nt
Filed under: Marmota monax (woodchuck)
Lineage: Eukaryota; Metazoa; Chordata; Mammalia; Rodentia; Sciuridae
Source: RNAcentral
AGUGAGAUAACUGGGUCAAAUGGUGGUUCCAUUCCAAGUUUUCUGAGGGAUAUCCAUACUGUUUUCCAGAGUGGUUACUCCAAUUUACAGUCCCACCAGCAAU